GAGUUUGAUCCUGGCUCAGAACGAACGCUGGCGGCAGGCCUAACACAUGCAAGUCGAGCGCCCCGCAAGGGGAGCGGCGGACGGGUGAGUAACACGUGGGAAUUUUCCUCAAGGUACGGAACAACUCAGGGAAACUUGGGCUAAUACCGUAUGAUGCAGAGAUGCCAAAGAUUUAUCGCCUUGGGAUAAGCCCGCGUCAGAUUAGGUAGUUGGUGGGGUAAUGGCCUACCAAGCCUGUGAUCUGUAGCUGGUCUGAGAGGACGAUCAGCCACAUUGGGACUGAGACACGGCCCAAACUCCUACGGGAGGCAGCAGUGGGGAAUCUUGCGCAAUGGACGAAAGUCUGACGCAGCCAUGCCGCGUGAAUGAUGAAGGUCUUAGGAUUGUAAAGUUCUUUAGCCUGUGACGAUGAUGACGGUAACAGGAGAAUAAGCCCCGGCUAACUUCGUGCCAGCAGCCGCGGUAAUACGAAGGGGGCUAGCGUUGUUCGGAAUUACUGGGCGUAAAGCGCGCGUAGGCGGUUUUGUAAGCCAGACGUGAAAUCCCCGGGCUUAACCUGGGAAUGGCGUUUGGGACUGCAAGGCUCGAGUAUGGCAGAGGGGACUAGAAUUCCUGGUGUAGCAGUGAAAUGCGUAGAUAUCAGGAGGAAUACCGAUGGCGAAGGCAGGUCCCUGGGUUAAUACUGACGCUCAUGCACGAAAGCGUGGGGAGCAAACAGGAUUAGAUACCCUGGUAGUC
Molecule: ribosomal RNA, 738 nt
Filed under: uncultured bacterium
Lineage: Bacteria
Description: bacterial SSU rRNA
Rfam family: Bacterial small subunit ribosomal RNA
Source: RNAcentral